GACGAACGCUGGCGACGUGCCUAAUACAUGCAAGUAGAACGCUGAAGGAGGAGCUUGCUUCUCUGGAUGAGUUGCGAACGGGUGAGUAACGCGUAGGUAACCUGCCUGGUAGCGGGGGAUAACUAUUGGAAACGAUAGCUAAUACCGCAUAAUAGUAGAUGUUGCAUGACAUUUGCUUAAAAGGUGCAAUUGCAUCACUACCAGAUGGACCUGCGUUGUAUUAGCUAGUUGGUGGGGUAACGGCUCACCAAGGCGACGAUACAUAGCCGACCUGAGAGGGUGAUCGGCCACACUGGGACUGAGACACGGCCCAGACUCCUACGGGAGGCAGCAGUAGGGAAUCUUCGGCAAUGGACGGAAGUCUGACCGAGCAACGCCGCGUGAGUGAAGAAGGUUUUCGGAUCGUAAAGCUCUGUUGUAAGAGAAGAACGAGUGUGAGAGUGGAAAGUUCACACUGUGACGUAUCUACCAGA
RNAcentral lists this ribosomal RNA (473 nucleotides) under Streptococcus mitis. Its description in RNAcentral is "bacterial SSU rRNA". It matches the Rfam family "Bacterial small subunit ribosomal RNA", at positions 28 to 487 of the family's 1533-position model. The record is from RNAcentral. Lineage: Bacteria; Bacillati; Bacillota; Bacilli; Lactobacillales; Streptococcaceae.